UACAGAGGUCUCAAGCGUUGUUCGGAUUCAUUGGGCGUAAAGGGCGCGUAGGCGGCGGGGUAAGUCUGGUGUGAAAUCUCGGAGCUCAACUCCGAAAUUGCACUGGAUACUGCUCUGCUUGAGGGUUGGAGAGGAGAUCGGAAUUCACGGUGUAGCAGUGAAAUGCGUAGAUAUCGUGAGGAAUACCAGAGGCGAAGGCGGCUACCUGGACAAUUGCUGACGCUCAGGCACGAAAGCGUGGGGAGCAAAAGGG
Molecule: ribosomal RNA, 253 nt
Filed under: uncultured bacterium
Lineage: Bacteria
Description: partial 16S ribosomal RNA
Rfam family: Bacterial small subunit ribosomal RNA
Source: RNAcentral